CAGCCCCGCGGGAAUACGAAGGGGGCUAGCGUUGUUCGGAUUAACUGGGCGUAAAGGGCGCGUAGGCGGGUUUUUAAGUCAGAGGUGAAAUCCCAAGGCUCAACCUUGGAACUGCCUUUGAUACUGGAAGUCUUGAGUCCGGGAGAGGUGAGUGGAACUGCGAGUGUAGAGGUGAAAUUCGUAGAUAUUCGGAAGAACACCAGUGGCGAAGGCGGCUUACUGGCUCAUUCUAGACGCUGAGGUGCGAAAGCGUGGGGAGCAAACAGGAUUAGAUACCCCGGUAGUCCCUGUCUCUUAUACA
RNAcentral lists this ribosomal RNA (301 nucleotides) under uncultured bacterium. RNAcentral describes it as "partial 16S ribosomal RNA". It matches the Rfam family "Bacterial small subunit ribosomal RNA", at positions 509 to 808 of the family's 1533-position model. The record is from RNAcentral.